AUACAUGCAAGUCGAGCGAAUGGAUUAAGAGCUUGCUCUUAUGAAGUUAGCGGCGGACGGGUGAGUCACACGUGGGUAACCUGCCCAUAAGACUGGGAUAACUCCGGGAAAGCGGGGCUAAUACCGGAUAACAUUUUGAACUGCGUGGUUCGAAAUUGAGAGGCGGCUUCGGCUGUCACUUAUGGAUGGACCCGCGUCGCAUUAGCUAUUUGGUGAGAUGGCGUCUCACCAAGGCAACUAUGCAUAGCCGAUCUGAGAGGGAGAUCGGCCACACUGGGACUGACACACGGCCCAGACUCAUACGGGAGGCAGCAGUAGGGACUCUUCCGCAAUGGGCGAGAGUCUGACGGAGCAACGCCGCGUGAGAGAUGAAGGUUUUCGGGUCAUAAAACUCUGUUGAUAGGGAAGAACGAGUGCUAGUUGAAUAAGCUGGCACCUUGACGGCACCUAACCAGAAAGCCACGGCUAACUACGUGCCAGCAGCCGCGAUAAUACGUAGGUGACAAGCGUUAUCCGAAAUUAUUGGGCGAAAAGCGCGCGCAGGUGUUUUCUUAAGUCUGAUGUGAAACCCCACGCCUCAACCGAGGAGGGUCAUUGAAAACUGGGAGACUUGAGUGCAGAAGAGGAAAGUGUAAUUCCAUGUGUAGCGGUGAAAUGCGAAGAGAUAUGGAGGAACACCAGUGGCGAAGGCGACUUUCUGGUCUGUAACUGACACUGAGGCGCGAAAGCGUGGGGAGCAAACAGGAUUAGAUACC
Molecule: ribosomal RNA, 755 nt
Filed under: Bacillus sp. (in: firmicutes)
Lineage: Bacteria; Bacillati; Bacillota; Bacilli; Caryophanales; Bacillaceae
Description: bacterial SSU rRNA
Rfam family: Bacterial small subunit ribosomal RNA
Source: RNAcentral